GCUUCUUCAUCAAAUGUUUGACCGUGCACAACUGUAAAAUAAGUAUGUAAUUAUUAUGUUUUCAUUUGCAUUUGUAAAAGACUUUUUAGACUACUGAUACCGAGAAUGGCUGAUUUGGGUUUGAAUUUCGAUUUUGUUAGUCAAAAAAGUUGGGAAAACGACCGGAAAAUGAAGGAAGGAGACUUCCUUGUAGAGUUUUGUGGGUGUUCUGUCGCACGCCAUGAAAACGGUAUCCAGCAGUGUCUCCGGCCCAAGUCUUGCACAAGUACACACACACACAUGCAAGCUCAUUCUAUUUUUAGAUCUGUGAGCUUUCUCGACUUCGUGCGAACGAGAGGGCGCGGAUUUCGACGAAUCCGAAAACCUCGCUGGAUAUGAACUAUAUGAACAAUAUAUUGCCUCUGCUCCAGUUUAAACAGGCCAAGAAUAGUUAAAUUUGUAUUCUAACUUGCACACACAUACAAAAAUAAAAAGAAGAUAUAUUGUAAA
Drosophila pseudoobscura is the source of this 489-nucleotide long non-coding RNA. RefSeq lists it as uncharacterized. The record is from RefSeq and is a predicted model, not a curated record. The transcript has 2 exons. NCBI's taxonomy places the organism in Eukaryota, Metazoa, Arthropoda, Insecta, Diptera, Drosophilidae.